RNAcentral lists this ribosomal RNA (473 nucleotides) under uncultured organism. RNAcentral describes it as "partial 16S ribosomal RNA". It matches the Rfam family "Bacterial small subunit ribosomal RNA", at positions 330 to 796 of the family's 1533-position model. The record is from RNAcentral.
CGUACACUCCUACGGGAGGCAGCAGUGGGGAAUAUUACACAAUGGGCGCAAGCCUGAUGCAGCAUGCCGCGUGUAUGAAGAAGGCCUUCGGGUUGUAAAGUACUUUCAGCGGGGAGGAAGGCGAUAAGGUUAAUAACCUUGUUGAUUGACGUUACCCGCAGAAGAAGCACCGGCUAACUCCGUGCCAGCAGCCGCGGUAAUACGAAGGGUGCAAGCGUUAAUCGGAAUUACUGGGCGUAAAGCGCACGCAGGCGGUCUGUCAAGUCGGAUGUGAAAUCCCCGGGCUCAACCUGGGAACUGCAUUCGAAACUGGCAGGCUAGAGUCUUGUAGAGGGGGGUAGAAUUCCAGGUGUAGCGGUGAAAUGCGUAGAGAUCUGGAGGAAUACCGGUGGCGAAGGCGGCCCCCUGGACAAAGACUGACGCUCAGGUGCGAAAGCGUGGGGAGCAAACAGGAUUAGAAACCCUGGUAGUCC